ACAGUAGGCUUCAAGGCUUGCCUGCUACAACAAGAAACCUACCAUCACCUCUCAAGAGAUUCGGGCCGCUGUUCGACUAGUUCUUUCUGGUGAAUUGGCAAAACACAUUGUCUCAGAGGGAACCAAGGCCGUCACAAAAUUCACUAGCUCUUAGAAAUUGGGUUGUUUUUUCCCCUUUUGAUUUUUCCAGAUUAGAUACAAUUUCAUUACAGAAGGCAGGUGUGAUCGCUUUGAGAUUUUGGGAAUUUCGAUCUGAUGUGUAAUUAGGGUUUCUUUGAGGUGAUUGUUCCCUCUCCUUGAGGAUCGAUCUCAUGCUGUAAAUCUCUCUCUUUUCUUAAAUUUCUAGAACAUUCAACUCCUUUUUCUCCUACAAUUUUUCCUUCAAA
Molecule: long non-coding RNA, 386 nt
Organism: Telopea speciosissima
Lineage: Eukaryota; Viridiplantae; Streptophyta; Magnoliopsida; Proteales; Proteaceae
Exons: 4
Source: RefSeq, a predicted model, not a curated record